RNAcentral lists this non-coding RNA (45 nucleotides) under Schistosoma mansoni. Lineage: Eukaryota; Metazoa; Platyhelminthes; Trematoda; Strigeidida; Schistosomatidae. The record is from RNAcentral.
AUCUAUCUGAUGAAUCCCGAAUAGGAUGAAACACUUGUCCUGAAU